GUCAGUUGGUUCCACACUGUCUAACCACUGACCACAUUACAGCGACCUCCGUCUUCGUUGCCACCACUGAUGUCUCUUACCAACGUUGUCAACAACAUCUGCACAGCACCAACACACUGCACUGGUUCUAACAUAUCGCUGUUCGUGAGCUUUCCUCGCCAGGGUUAAC
Octopus sinensis (East Asian common octopus) is the source of this 169-nucleotide long non-coding RNA. RefSeq lists it as uncharacterized. The transcript has 3 exons. Lineage: Eukaryota; Metazoa; Mollusca; Cephalopoda; Octopoda; Octopodidae. The record is from RefSeq and is a predicted model, not a curated record.